CCUWCGGGGGGGGGCGYGCAGUAGGGAAUCUUCCGCAAUGGGCGAAAGCCUGACGGAGCAAUGCCGCGUGAGUGAUGAAGGUUUUCGGAUCGUAAAGCUCUGUUGCCAGGGAAGAACGCUUGGGAGAGUAACUGCUCUCAAGGUGACGGUACCUGAGAAGAAAGCCCCGGCUAACUACGUGCCAGCAGCCGCGGUAAUACGUAGGGGGCAAGCGUUGUCCGGAAUUAUUGGGCGUAAAGCGCGCGCAGGCGGUCAUUUAAGUCUGGUGUUUAAUCCCGGGGCUCAACCCCGGAUCGCACUGGAAACUGGGUGACUUGAGUGCAGAAGAGGAGAGUGGAAUUCCACGUGUAGCGGUGAAAUGCGUAGAUAUGUGGAGGAACACCAGUGGCGAAGGCGACUCUCUGGGCUGUAACUGACGCUGAGGCGCGAAAGCGUGGGGAGCAAACAGGAUUAGAUACCCCC
This 462-nucleotide ribosomal RNA is filed under the name Paenibacillus pabuli. RNAcentral describes it as "bacterial SSU rRNA". The record is from RNAcentral. Lineage: Bacteria; Bacillati; Bacillota; Bacilli; Caryophanales; Paenibacillaceae.